This 421-nucleotide ribosomal RNA is filed under the name uncultured bacterium. RNAcentral's name for it is "bacterial SSU rRNA". It matches the Rfam family "Bacterial small subunit ribosomal RNA", at positions 355 to 774 of the family's 1533-position model. The record is from RNAcentral.
UAAGGAAUAUUGGUCAAUGGACGCAAGUCUGAACCAGCCAUGCCGCGUGAAGGAUGAAGGUCCUCUGGAUUGUAAACUUCUUUUAUCUGGGACGAAAACGGGAUUUUUAUCUCAAUUGACGGUACCAGAGGAAUAAGCACCGGCUAACUCCGUGCCAGCAGCUGCGGUAAUACGGAGGGUGCGAGCGUUAUCCGGAUUUACUGGGUUUAAAGGGUGCGUAGGUGGGCUUAUAAGUCAGUGGUGAAAUCUCCGAGCUUAACUUGGAAACUGCCGUUGAUACUAUAGGUCUUGAAUUAUCUGGAGGUAAGCGGAAUAUGUCAUGUAGCGGUGAAAUGCUUAGAUAUGACAUAGAACACCAAUUGCGAAGGCAGCUUACUACAUAUAAAUUGACGCUGAGGCACGAAAGCGUGGGGAUCAAACA